AGCGAACGCUGGCGGCGUGCUUAACACAUGCAAGUCGAGUGCGCAGUCCUCUGUAGCAAUACAGAGGGCGGGCGCACGGCGCACGGGUGAGUAACACGUGGGUAACCUGCCCUGUAAUGGGGGAUAACCCGCCGAAAGGCGGGCUAAUACCGCAUGACAUUCCGGCGGCUUUGGCUGCCGGAUUCAAAGCCGAAAGGCGUUAGAGGAGGGGCCCGCGCCCGAUUAGCUAGUUGGUGAGGUAACGGCUCACCAAGGCUGAGAUCGGUAGCCGGUCUGAGAGGAUGGCCGGCCACACUGGAACUGAGACACGGUCCAGACUCCUACGGGAGGCAGCAGUGGGGAAUCUUGCGCAAUGGGCGAAAGCCUGACGCAGCGACGCCGCGUGGGGGAUGAAGCUUUUCGGGGUGUAAACCCCUUUCGACCCGGACGAAACGCCCGCAAGGGCCUGACGGUACGGGUAUAAGAAGCCCCGGCUAACUACGUGCCAGCAGCCGCGGUAAGACGUAGGGGGCCGAGCGUU
Molecule: ribosomal RNA, 520 nt
Filed under: uncultured bacterium
Lineage: Bacteria
Description: bacterial SSU rRNA
Rfam family: Bacterial small subunit ribosomal RNA
Source: RNAcentral